GUGGGGAAUAUUGGACAAUGGGCGAAAGCCUGAUCCAGCCAUACCGCGUGGGUGAAGAAGGCCUUCGGGUUGUAAAGCCCUUUUGUUGGGAAAGAAAAGCAGCCGGUUAAUACCCGGUUGUUCUGACGGUACCCAAAGAAUAAGCACCGGCUAACUUCGUGCCAGCAGCCGCGGUAAUACGAAGGGUGCAAGCGUUACUCGGAAUUACUGGGCGUAAAGCGUGCGUAGGUGGUUGUUUAAGUCUGUCGUGAAAGCCCUGGGCUCAACCUGGGAACUGCGAUGGAAACUGGGCAACUAGAGUGUGGUAGAGGGUAGCGGAAUUCCUGGUGUAGCAGUGAAAUGCGUAGAUAUCAGGAGGAACAUCCAUGGCGAAGGCAGCUACCUGGGCCAACACUGACACUGAGGCACGAAAGCGUGGGGAGCAAACAGGAUUAGAAACCCCGGUAGUCC
RNAcentral lists this ribosomal RNA (450 nucleotides) under uncultured bacterium. RNAcentral's name for it is "partial 16S ribosomal RNA". It matches the Rfam family "Bacterial small subunit ribosomal RNA", at positions 354 to 796 of the family's 1533-position model. The record is from RNAcentral.